RNAcentral lists this ribosomal RNA (467 nucleotides) under uncultured bacterium. Its description in RNAcentral is "partial 16S ribosomal RNA". It matches the Rfam family "Bacterial small subunit ribosomal RNA", at positions 29 to 507 of the family's 1533-position model. The record is from RNAcentral.
ACGAACGCUGGCGGCGUGCUUAACACAUGCAAGUCGAACGGAAAGGCCCUGCUUUUGUGGGGUGCUCGAGUGGCGAACGGGUGAGUAACACGUGAGUAACCUGCCCUUGACUUUGGGAUAACUUCAUGAAACUGGGGCUAAUACCGGAUAGGAGCUCCUGCUGCAUGGUGGGGGUUGGAAAGUUUCGGCGGUUGGGGAUGGAUUCGCGGCUUAUCAGCUUGUUGGUGGGGUAGUGGCUUACCAAGGCUUUGACGGGUAGCCGGCCUGAGAGGGUGACCGGGCACAUUGGGACUGAGAUACGGCCCAGACUCCUACGGGAGGCAGCAGUGGGGAAUAUUGCACAAUGGGCGGAAGCCUGAUGCAGCAACGCCGCGUGCGGGAUGACGGCCUUCGGGUUGUAAACCGCUUUCGCCUGUGACGAAGCGUGAGUGACGGUAAUGGGUAAAGAAGCACCGGCUAACUACGUG